This 374-nucleotide ribosomal RNA is filed under the name uncultured organism. RNAcentral describes it as "bacterial SSU rRNA". It matches the Rfam family "Bacterial small subunit ribosomal RNA", at positions 526 to 896 of the family's 1533-position model. The record is from RNAcentral.
UGGGGGGAGCAAGCGUUGUUCGGAUUUACUGGGCGUAAAGGGCGCGUAGGCGGCCAGCACAAGUCAGUUGUGAAAUCUCCGAGCUUAACUCGGAAAGGUCAACUGAUACUGUGCGGCUAGAGUGCGGAAGGGGCAACUGGAAUUCUUGGUGUAGCGGUGAAAUGCGUAGAUAUCAAGAGGAACACCUGCGGCGAAGGCGGGUUGCUGGGCCGACACUGACGCUGAGGCGCGAAAGCCAGGGGAGCGAACGGGAUUAGAUACCCCGGUAGUCCUGGCCUUAAACGAUGAAUGCUUGGUGUCUGGGGUUAUAAAGUCCCCGGGUGCCGUCGCUAACGCUUUAAGCAUUCCGCCUGGGGAGUACGGUCGCAAGACUG